UACGAAGGGGGCUAGCGUUGCUCGGAAUCACUGGGCGUAAAGGGUGCGUAGGCGGGUCCUUAAGUCAGGGGUGAAAUCCUGGAGCUCAACUCCGGAACUGCCUUUGAUACUGAGGAUCUUGAGUACGGGAGAGGUGAGUGGAACUGCGAGUGUAGAGGUGAAAUUCGUAGAUAUUCGCAAGAACACCAGUGGCGAAGGCGACUACCUGGCCUGUUCUUGACGCUGAGGCGCGAAAGCUAGGGGAGCAAACGGG
RNAcentral lists this ribosomal RNA (253 nucleotides) under uncultured bacterium. RNAcentral's name for it is "partial 16S ribosomal RNA". It matches the Rfam family "Bacterial small subunit ribosomal RNA", at positions 524 to 776 of the family's 1533-position model. The record is from RNAcentral.